RNAcentral lists this ribosomal RNA (292 nucleotides) under uncultured eukaryote. RNAcentral describes it as "partial 18S ribosomal RNA". It matches the Rfam family "Eukaryotic small subunit ribosomal RNA", at positions 6 to 301 of the family's 1831-position model. The record is from RNAcentral.
GGUUGAUCCUGCCAGUAUUAUAUGCUGAUGUUAAAGAUUAAGCCAUGCAUGUGUAAGUAUAAAGACCAAGUAGGAUGAAACUGCGGACGGCUCAUUAUAACAGUAAUAGUUUCUUUGGUUAGUAAAGUACAAGGAUACCUUUGUGAAUGAUAAAGAUAAUACUUGAGACGAUCCUGCUUGUACAAGUACAAGUGGGCCGCUCUUUGCAAGAAGAGUGAACAAUGACAUCCUGAAUUGAACAAGGAUGCCACGACAAUUGUAGAACACACAGUGUUUAACAAGUAACCAAUGA